RNAcentral lists this ribosomal RNA (729 nucleotides) under uncultured eukaryote. Its description in RNAcentral is "SSU rRNA". It matches the Rfam family "Eukaryotic small subunit ribosomal RNA", at positions 670 to 1426 of the family's 1831-position model. The record is from RNAcentral.
CGCGUGUACUGGUCCGGCCGGGCCUUUCCCUCUGUGGAACCCCAUGCCCUUCACUGGGUGUGGCGGGGAAACAGGACUUUUACUGUGAAAAAAUUAGAGUGCUCCAGGCAGGCCUAUGCUCGAAUACAUUAGCAUGGAAUAAUAGAAUAGGACGUGUGGUUCUAUUUUGUUGGUUUCUAGGACCGCCGUAAUGAUUAAUAGGGACAGUCGGGGGCAUCAGUAUUCAAUUGUCAGAGGUGAAAUUCUUGGAUUUAUUGAAGACUAACUACUGCGAAAGCAUUUGCCAAGGAUGUUUUCAUUAAUCAGGAACGAAAGUUAGGGGAUCGAAGACGAUCAGAUACCGUCGUAGUCUUAACCAUAAACUAUGCCGACUAGGGAUCGGACGGUGUUAUAUUUUGACCCGUUCGGCACCUUACGAGAAAUCAAAGUGCUUGGGCUCCAGGGGGAGUAUGGUCGCAAGGCUGAAACUUAAAGAAAUUGACGGAAGGGCACCACCAGGGGUGGAGCCUGCGGCUUAAUUUGACUCAACACGGGGAAACUCACCAGGUCCAGACACAAUGAGGAUUGACAGAUUAAGAGCUCUUUCUUGAUUUUGUGGGUGGUGGUGCAUGGCCGUUCUUAGUUGGUGGAGUGAUUUGUCUGCUUAAUUGCGAUAACGAACGAGACCUUAACCUGCUAAAUAGCCCGUAUUGCUUUGGCAGUACGCUGGCUUCUUAGAGGGACUAUCGG